CCGUAUCUAUGCAAAGUCACAGAGCUGCCGGGAGGAUUUAUAGACUUUUAUUCCACCUGCUGAUAGGAGCUGCUGCUGCUGCUCAACACGUGGUCCGUGGACUCCUCAGCGUCCAUUAAAGCAGCAAUAGAAGGAAGCGGGCGAGCUGCUCCAUGAACCGGGACGAGGGGGACUCCAUCCUCCAGAGACCACCGGACGGCGGGGGGCGUGGCCUAUCUGACAGAUUCUGACAGAUCUGUCAGACUGGUCACCUGAUGAAAAAAGACACGUCAGCACACGUCAGAUGACGCUAUGAAGAAGACUGCAGAUGCAGCUGAAACAUGUCAGCUAAGUCUGUCUGGUGAAAACGUGACCCAAUUAAGACACGAAAACUGCCAAAAGUUCAACAGCUUGACACUCCAGGUGCCGUCGUACUUUAUUUCAG
Long non-coding RNA from Amphiprion ocellaris (clown anemonefish), 424 nucleotides. RefSeq lists it as uncharacterized. Lineage: Eukaryota; Metazoa; Chordata; Actinopteri; Pomacentridae. The record is from RefSeq and is a predicted model, not a curated record. The transcript has 3 exons.